RNAcentral lists this ribosomal RNA (164 nucleotides) under uncultured bacterium. Its description in RNAcentral is "partial 16S ribosomal RNA". It matches the Rfam family "Bacterial small subunit ribosomal RNA", at positions 353 to 509 of the family's 1533-position model. The record is from RNAcentral.
UGGGGGAAGUAUUGCGCAAUGGGCGAAAGCCUGACGCAGCGACGCCGCGUGAGGGAUGAAGGUCUUCGGAUCGUAAACCUCUGUCAGCAGGGAAGAACGGUCACUGUGCUAAUCAGCAGUGAAUUGACGGUACCUGCAAAGGAAGCACCGGCUAACUCCGUGCC